This 422-nucleotide ribosomal RNA is filed under the name uncultured bacterium. RNAcentral describes it as "bacterial SSU rRNA". It matches the Rfam family "Bacterial small subunit ribosomal RNA", at positions 355 to 774 of the family's 1533-position model. The record is from RNAcentral.
UAAGGAAUAUUGGUCAAUGGACGAAAGUCUGAACCAGCCAUGCCGCGUGAAGGAUGACGGCCCUCUGGGUUGUAAACUUCUUUUAUCUGGGACGAAAAAAGAUCAUUCCUGAUCACUUGACGGUACCAGAGGAAUAAGCACCGGCUAACUCCGUGCCAGCAGCCGCGGUAAUACGGAGGGUGCAAGCGUUAUCCGGAUUUACUGGGUUUAAAGGGUGCGUAGGUGGGUCUGUAAGUCAGUGGUGAAAUCUUCGAGCUUAACUCGGAAACUGCCAUUGAUACUAUAGGUCUUGAAUUAUUGGGAAGUAACUAGAAUAUGUAGUGUAGCGGUGAAAUGCUUAGAGAUUACAUGGAAUACCGAUUGCGAAGGCAGCUCACAAAACUGUAACUGACACUGAGGCUCGAAAGUGCGGGGAUCAAACA